AUUGAACGCUGGCGGCAUGCUUUACACAUGCAAGUCGAACGGUAACAGGUUAAGCUGACGAGUGGUGAACGGGUGAGUAAUGCAUCGGAACGUGCCCGAUCGUGGGGGAUAACGCAGCGAAAGCUGCGCUAAUACCGCAUACGAUCUGAGGAUGAAAGCGGGGGACCGUAAGGCCUCGCGCGAUCGGAGCGGCCGAUGUCAGAUUAGGUAGUUGGUGGGGUAAAGGCUCACCAAGCCAACGGUCUGUAGCUGGUCUGAGAGGACGACCAGCCACACUGGGACUGAGACACGGCACAGACUCCUACGGGAGGCAGCAGUGGGGAAUUUUGGACAAUGGGCGAAAGCCUGAUCCAGUAAUGCCGCGUGCAGGAAGAAGGCCUUCGGGUUGUAAACUGCUUUUGUACGGAGCGAAAAGGCUCUCUCUAAUACAGGGGGCUCAUGACGGUACCGUAAGAAUAAGCACCGGCUAACUACGUGCCAGCCGCCGCGGUAA
This 493-nucleotide ribosomal RNA is filed under the name uncultured bacterium. RNAcentral's name for it is "partial 16S ribosomal RNA". It matches the Rfam family "Bacterial small subunit ribosomal RNA", at positions 30 to 523 of the family's 1533-position model. The record is from RNAcentral.